ACAUAACUGAUGCCUCCGCGUAUCGACUUUGUGCGCAUUUUAGCUAUUAUGUGUUCUUUUAAUUAAAAUGAUUCUUUUUAAGAUUCAUCUAUUAAAAAUUUGCUUCGGCACAAUUUUUUUUGAUGAUCUUGUUACUUUGAGUAAAUUAGAGUGUUCAAAGCAAACAGAUAUAGCAUUUGUGCGUUUGAAUACUACAGCAUGGAAUAACAAAAUUGAACAAGUCAGAAUUUUUUUGUUCUUUUUUCUUAUUUUGGCUUAGUUACGAUUAAUAGGAGUAGCUUGGGGGCAUUUGUAUUCAGAUGUCAGAGGUGAAAUUCUUAGAUUUUCUGGAGACAAACAACUGCGAAAGCAUUUGCCUAAAAUACUUCCAUUAAUCAAGAACGAAAGUUAAGGGAGUGAAGACGAUCAGAUACCGUCGUAAUCUUAACCAUAAACUAUGCCGACUAGGCUUUGGAUGAAAGAUUUUAAAAUAAGAGUUUUUCUUUUCUCUCCGGAGAUUAGAACUCUUAGAUUGCUUCCUUCAGUGCCUUAUGAGAAAUCAAAGUCUUUGGGUUCUGGGGCGAGUAUUCGCGCAAGCGAGAAAGUUAAAAGAAUUGACGGAAGGGCACCACCAGGCGUGGAGCUUGCGGCUUAAUUUGACUCAACACGGGAAAACUCACUAGUUUAAGACAAGAGUAGGAUUGACAGAUUAAUAGCUCUUCCUUGAUUUCUUGGAUGGUGAUGCAUGGCCGUUUUUAGUUCGUGAAUAUGAUUUGUCUGGUUAAUUCCGAUAACGAACGAGAUCUUAACCUGCUAAUUAGCGGCAAAUACGAUAUAUUCUUAUGUAGAAUUGAAUAUAGUGGACUUGUUGGGAUUUUGAAGAAAAUAUUGGAAUUACGUUAAAUGUGAUUCCUUUCCCUUUUCUACUUAAUUUACAUUUCCAUCUAUUUCUUUUUUGCGUAUGAAUGUAUUUGCUUGAUUGUAAAGCUUCUUAGAGGAACGAUGUGUG
RNAcentral lists this ribosomal RNA (988 nucleotides) under Plasmodium knowlesi. Its description in RNAcentral is "SSU rRNA". It matches the Rfam family "Eukaryotic small subunit ribosomal RNA", at positions 638 to 1428 of the family's 1831-position model. Lineage: Eukaryota; Apicomplexa; Aconoidasida; Haemosporida; Plasmodiidae. The record is from RNAcentral.